UACAGAGGUCUCAAGCGUUGUUCGGAUUCAUUGGGCGUAAAGGGCGCGUAGGCGGUCGUGACAAGUCACUUGUGAAAUCUCCGGGCUUAACUCGGAACGGUCAAGUGAUACUGUCGGACUAGAGUACAGAAGGGGCAACUGGAAUUCUCGGUGUAGCGGUGAAAUGCGUAGAUAUCGAGAGGAACACCUGCGGCGAAGGCGGGUUGCUGGGCUGAUACUGACGCUGAGGCGCGAA
RNAcentral lists this ribosomal RNA (235 nucleotides) under uncultured bacterium. Its description in RNAcentral is "partial 16S ribosomal RNA". It matches the Rfam family "Bacterial small subunit ribosomal RNA", at positions 524 to 757 of the family's 1533-position model. The record is from RNAcentral.